This 73-nucleotide transfer RNA is filed under the name Dendronephthya gigantea. RNAcentral describes it as "tRNA-Lys". It matches the Rfam family "tRNA". Rfam says of the family: Transfer RNA (tRNA) molecules are approximately 80 nucleotides in length. Their secondary structure includes four short double-helical elements and three loops (D, anti-codon, and T loops). The record is from RNAcentral. Lineage: Eukaryota; Metazoa; Cnidaria; Anthozoa; Malacalcyonacea; Nephtheidae.
GCCCGGCUAGCUCAGUCGGUAGAGCAUGAGACUUUUAAUCUCAGGGUCGUUGGUUCGAGCCCAACGUUGGGCG